AUGAACGCUAGCGACAGGCCUAACACAUGCAAGUCGAGGGGCAGCACAAGGAGCAAUCUGAGGUGGCGACCGGCGCACGGGUGAGUAACACGUAUGCAACCUGCCUGUAAGCGGGGAAUAACCCGUUGAAAGACGGACUAAUACCGCAUAAUACUAAAUUACUGCAUGGUAAAUUUAUUUAAACAUUUAUGGCUUACAGAUGGGCAUGCGCAUGAUUAGCUAGUUGGAGAGGUAACGGCUCCCCCAAGGCAACGAUCAUUAGGGGUUCUGAGAGGAAGGUCCCCCCACACUGGUACUGAGACACGGACCAGACUCCUACGGGAGGCAGCAGUGAGGAAUAUUGGUCAAUGGACGAGAGUCUGGAACCAGCCAAGUCGCGUGCAGGAAGAAUGUCCCUAUGGAUUGUAAACUGCUUUUGCAGGGGAAUAAAGUGCAUCACGUGUGAUGUUCUGUAUGUACUCUGCGAAUAAGGAUCGGCUAACUCCGUGCCAGCCGCAGC
Molecule: ribosomal RNA, 499 nt
Filed under: uncultured bacterium
Lineage: Bacteria
Description: bacterial SSU rRNA
Rfam family: Bacterial small subunit ribosomal RNA
Source: RNAcentral